GAUCGUAAGGACAUGUGGAGCGCUUAGAAGUGAGAAUGCCGGUGUGAGUAGCGAAAGACGGGUGAGAAUCCCGUCCACCGAUUGACUAAGGUUUCCAGAGGAAGGCUCGUCCGCUCUGGGUUAGUCGGGUCCUAAGCUGAGGCCGACAGGCGUAGGCGAUGGAUAACAGGUUGAUAUUCCUGUACCACCUAUAAUCGUUUUAAUCGAUGGGGGGACGCAGUAGGAUAGGCGAAGCGUGCGAUUGGAUUGCACGUCUAAGCAGUAAGGCUGAGUAUUAGGCAAAUCCGGUACUCAUUAAGGCUGAGCUGUGAUGGGGAGAAGACAUUGUGUCUUCGAGUCGUUGAUUUCACACUGCCGAGAAAAGCCUCUAGAUAGAAAAUAGGUGCCCGUACCGCAAACCGACACAGGUAGUCAAGAUGAGAAUUCUAAGGUGAGCGAGCGAACUCUCGUUAAGGAACUCGGCAAAAUGACCCCGUAACUUCGGGAGAAGGGGUGCUCUUUAGGGUUAACGCCCAGAAGAGCCGCAGUGAAUAGGCCCAAGCGACUGUUUAUCAAAAACACAGGUCUCUGCUAAACCGUAAGGUGAUGUAUAGGGGCUGACGCCUGCCCGGUGCUGGAAGGUUAAGAGGAGUGGUUAGCUUCUGCGAAGCUACGAAUCGAAGCCCCAGUAAACGGCGGCCGUAACUAUAACGGUCCUAAGGUAGCGAAAUUCCUUGUCGGGUAAGUUCCGACCCGCACGAAAGGCGUAACGAUUUGGGCACUGUCUCAACGAGAGACUCGGUGAAAUCAUAGUACCUGUGAAGAUGCAGGUUACCCGCGACAGGACGGAAAGACCCCGUGGAGCUUUACUGUAGCCUGAUAUUGAAAUUCGGCACAGCUUGUACAGGAUAGGUAGGAGCCUUUGAAACGUGAGCGCUAGCUUACGUGGAGGCGCUGGUGGGAUACUACCCUAGCUGUGUUGGCUUUCUAACCCGCACCACUUAUCGUGGUGGGAGACAGUGUCAGGCGGGCAGUUUGACUGGGGCGGUCGCCUCCUAAAAGGUAACGGAGGCGCUCAAAGGUUCCCUCAGAAUGGUUGGAAAUCAUUCAUAGAGUGUAAAGGCAUAAGGGAGCUUGACUGCGAGACCUACAAGUCGAGCAGGGUCGAAAGACGGACUUAGUGAUCCGGUGGUUCCGCAUGGAAGGGCCAUCGCUCAACGGAUAAAAGCUACCCCGGGGAUAACAGGCUUAUCUCCCCCAAGAGUUCACAUCGACGGGGAGGUUUGGCACCUCGAUGUCGGCUCAUCGCAUCCUGGGGCUGUAGUCGGUCCCAAGGGUUGGGCUGUUCGCCCAUUAAAGCGGUACGCGAGCUGGGUUCAGAACGUCGUGAGACAGUUCGGUCCCUAUCCGUCGUGGGCGUAGGAAAUUUGAGAGGAGCUGUCCUUAGUACGAGAGGACCGGGAUGGACAUACCUCUGGUGUACCAGUUGUCGUGCCAACGGCAUAGCUGGGUAGCUAUGUGUGGACGGGAUAAGUGCUGAAAGCAUCUAAGCAUGAAGCCCCCCUCAAGAUGAGAUUUCCCAACUUCGGUUAUAAGAUCCCUCAAAGAUGAUGAGGUUAAUAGGUUCGAGGUGGAAGCAUGGUGACAUGUGGAGCUGACGAAUACUAA
This 1647-nucleotide ribosomal RNA is filed under the name Staphylococcus aureus. RNAcentral's name for it is "partial 23S ribosomal RNA". It matches the Rfam family "Bacterial large subunit ribosomal RNA", at positions 1259 to 2904 of the family's 2925-position model. The record is from RNAcentral. Lineage: Bacteria; Bacillati; Bacillota; Bacilli; Caryophanales; Staphylococcaceae.